CCUUCCUUAGAAUCAAAGGAACUGUUAUUAUGGAAAUUUUUUACCAAAUUAACAUAUUUUGCUUGUUUCACUGGCCAGAGUUGAAACCCACACUCCUGGUAUAUAAGUAGGAGAAGAACUUUUUCUUAUAUCUUUUAUUCCAAUAAACUGAGUUAAUAUUCCUAUUAUAAUUUAAAAUGACAGUAAGAUUUCCCAAUGGAAUCAAAAUGUUGGGGGGAGGGUGGAGCUGGAGGAAUGAAAUCCACAAAGCUCCAUAUUACCUCACAUGAUAUUGUGAUACAGUAAGAAAUAUAUAUUUGGUCUCUGGUCCUGGCACAUACUUCCUAAAACCCUUGGAAUCUCCAAAGUGCUAAGGGUCUCUGUGAAUACUAAUGAAUUGAGUGAUGGCUGGGGUUCCAGGAUAGCCUUAGGAUGGGGGCUGGUUGCCAGGGGAACCAACCAUGUGAUUAGAGGGUUAGAACUUUCAGUGCCACCACCACCACACAAUCUCCAGGGAGGGUAAAGGAGCUUUAGGUUGAGCUGAUCACCCAUGUCCCAUGAUGUAAUCAAUCAGGACAUAAUGAAGCCUCCAUGAAAAAUCAAAAGGACUGGUUCAGAAAGUUUCUGGAUUGCUGAACACAUGUAAGAUCGUGGAGGUUGGUGUGCCCAGAGAGGGCAAGGGUCUCACUUUGUCAACCAGGAUAGAGUACAGUGGCAUGAACAUGGCUCACAGCUGCCUCAACCUCUCAAGCUCCAGCGAUCCUCCCUCAGCCUCCUGAGUAGCUGGGACCACAAGGAUGCGCCACCACCCCUGGCUAGUUCUGUUCAUUUUUUGUAGGGACAAGGCCUCACUAUGUUGUCCAUGACUCAAGCAAUCCUUCUGCCUCAGCCUUCCAAAGUGCUGGGAGUACAGGCGUUUGAGUCACCGUGCCUGGCCAGAUCUUGGUUUCUAAUGCCAUUAUCCAAUAAAAGGAAUGGGGACUCCUUGGAGAAAUGACUGAUUCUAGGAGCCGGGCAGGAAAUAUGCAAGAUGAGCCUGGAGCAUUUUGUAGUACCACAAAGUAGGAAAGUAUUAAAAUACACACACACACACACACACACACACACACACACACACAAUGUCAAAAGAACCAGAGGCCAACCAAAAGAGCACCUGAUGGCCAAAGCUGGAACAAUUUGAGCAACAAAAUAAAUGAAGUAAUACUGGAUUAAAACCCAAAGUGUAAAAUAAAUAUCCAUAUCAGUAUGACUCCACACUGAUAUAAAUGAUUGAACAGAUGAGGAAAAAUAAAGUCUCUGAUGCAGAAUUACAAAUAAUUUGUGUAGAUAUUUUGCCCUCAAGGAGGUAGAGUACAACUCUCCACUCCUUAGGUGUGGGCUAUGCAUAGUGACUUUCAUCUAAAGAGUACAGUAUGGAAAAGGGGGGAAAGUAUCUUUACAGCAGAGAAACCUGAUAAACUACCUUAAGACCAAGGUCAACAUCAGUAGUGAUAAGUCAUAUUGAUAGGAUGUACCCUUGAUAGGAAGUAAUGAGAAUGAUACUUUACCUCUCUGGGUCUUCCUCCCAAAAACACAUUAUCAAGUCUAAUAAUGACAAAAACAUCACACAAAUCCCAACUGAGGCAAUCUUACAAAUAUCUGACCAACAACCCUCAAAACUGUCAAGAUCAUCAAAAACAAAGCAAGUCUGAGAAACAAUCACAACCAAGAAAACUGUAAGGAGAAAUGAGUACUAGACAUAAUGUGGUAUCCUGGAUGGUAUUCAGGAACAGGAAAAAGACAUUAGGAAAAAAACCUGAGGAAAUCUGAAUAAAAUAUGAACUUUAGUUAACAAUAAUGUAUCAAUAUCAGUUUACUAAUGUUAAAAAUAUACUAUACUAAUAUAUUAAUAAUAGAGGAAACUGCAGUGUGGGG
This 1893-nucleotide long non-coding RNA is filed under the name Homo sapiens (human). RNAcentral's name for it is "HSALNT0291077". Lineage: Eukaryota; Metazoa; Chordata; Mammalia; Primates; Hominidae. The record is from RNAcentral.